GGGCUCCACUGUACAAAGAAGGCAGGGCAGCAGGACUAACCCCUUCCUCCCGGAAGAUGCUGCUGAGGGAGGCACAGGAGAAGAUCUAGCUGGGGAGGACAGGGAAACCCGGCACAGCCCAGGCAAGGACUGAGGAACGAUAACUGCCAGUUCUGGUGUACAACGCCUGUGGGGAUCUUCUGCACUUUGCUGCUAGGGUCUCGUGGUAAACGCCUCCCCUAGCAGAUGGGGACAGUGAUGUGUUUGAGCUGAAUGGCCAAAGCAGGCAGAGCACGGUGUGGAGAAGGCAGAUCUAGCUCCGCAGGAAAUUUUACUACCAUGACUCUUUCAUCUCUCUCCUGGUUUGAAGAUAAAUGAUCCUUGGACUCUUCUGGACCUGCAUAAAUCACAAAAGCAAUCUACUAAGAGAGCCGCCUGUGGCACCGACUUCGGCUGGAAUUGAAAAGGACAGUCAAAAAUAUCCACGGUUGCUUACAAAAGGGGUAACCCAAACCAUCCUCUGGGCAAGAGGGGAGGAGGCCGGUGGUGGGACUGCAGCUCCAUGGGGUGGGAAGGACCCCAGGAGAGAGCACACCGAUCACAGCACCUCCUGUGUCUGGGCACAGGGCUCCAUCCCUAAGACAGAGGGGUCUGGGUGCAUCCUCCCGGGGUACUGAAUUUGCCCCUGGGUGUCAGAUGGGUGUGACACCAUCCCUGCCCUAACCGUGGGGCUUGCCCGUUAACCCAUCUCUGGACAAUGGGCUGAGGUCAGUGAGGUGUCACCUUUGAAGUCUGGGCUUUGGAGGGGCAGCUCACCAUGUAUUUAAUUGAUCUGAGCCUUUGAUGAGGUUUUAUCUGCAGGAUGGAGAAGCCUCAAUGCUCUGUCAGUCUCAGCACUGUAUUUCUAUUCUCAGAAAUGUCCUGUGAGGGUCCAACCUGAUGGUGAUGACACCCAAAGCACCAGCGACAAGGCACAAGGUGAACCCCCCCCCCAUGCUCUGCUCUCACUUGAGAGAUGACUACAUGGUGGCACCGGCAGCCAGCUCCUGCACUGCCAGAGCAAACGUGCCUGGAUUCAGGACUUUGUGGGAGACACAAAAUGGAGGCAGCCUGAAGCACAGCCCGGUGAGUGGGGAGACGAUGGUCAGGACAGGAGCGGAAGAAGCCUGGAAAGUGACAGACAGACGGACAGGCUUGACGUGAGGAGGAGAUGACAGCCGGGAGUUGCAGGUGUGGAAGAGAAAAGGCAAGGAAGGUAGCAUGCUUUGCUCCAUCAGAGACUGACUUCUGCACAGUCUUUGCGUCCCUGUUGAUGCUGGGUCACUGGGAUCGUGGCGGAA
This is a long non-coding RNA of Cygnus olor (mute swan), 1319 nucleotides long. RefSeq lists it as uncharacterized. The record is from RefSeq and is a predicted model, not a curated record. The transcript is spliced from 3 exons. Lineage: Eukaryota; Metazoa; Chordata; Aves; Anseriformes; Anatidae.